AUUGAACGCUGGUGGAAUGCUUUACACAUGCAAGUCGAACGGCAGCACGGACUUCGGUCUGGUGGCGAGUGGCGAACGGGUGAGUAAUGUAUCGGAACGUGCCCAGUCGUGGGGGAUAACGUAGUGAAAAUUACGCUAAUACCGCAUACGAUCUAUGGAUGAAAGCGGGGGAUCGCAAGACCUCGCGCGAUUGGAGCGGCCGAUAUCAGAUUAGGUAGUUGGUGGGGUAAAGGCCCACCAAGCCAACGAUCUGUAGCUGGUCUGAGAGGACGACCAGCCACACUGGAACUGAGACACGGUCCAGACUCCUACGGGAGGCAGCAGUGGGGAAUAUUGGACAAUGGGGGCAACCCUGAUCCAGCGAUGCCGCGUGGGUGAAGAAGGCCUUCGGGUUGUAAAGCCCUUUAAGAUGGGAAGAAGAGUGUGAGAGUAAUAUGCUCAUGCUUUGACGGUACCGUCAGAAUAAGCACCGGCAAACUCUGUGCCAGCAGCCGCCGCGG
RNAcentral lists this ribosomal RNA (500 nucleotides) under uncultured bacterium. RNAcentral's name for it is "partial 16S ribosomal RNA". It matches the Rfam family "Bacterial small subunit ribosomal RNA", at positions 30 to 523 of the family's 1533-position model. The record is from RNAcentral.